CAUGUAUAUGUAUACGAUAUGAAUCACCCAGCACUUAGUGCCAGUGCUCCACUGGAUACCAGAACAUUGGGUACGAGUGCAACAUCAGCAUAGUAAAACUGGACAUGUUUUUGAUCAAAUAUAAUGGCCACUAAGUAAACACCAAGCUGUCAUUAAGAAGAUGCACACUGUAUUUAUUUUUGUCCUCGCUGUUUUCCGGCUGGGAGGAUGCAUUAUUUAUGUAUUUAUUUAGCUAGUAUUGUAAGAGAGGGCUGUUUAAGCCACAUGGAAUGAGCCAGAACAGUUCUGAGAAGUCUGGCCAAGCCAAAGGCUCUGGACUAGUUUGGAAGAUCGUGACUCAAAGUCCAGUAUCAGCAAUAAAAAAAACAGUGCAAAAGAAAGAAAAGAAGAGAGGAGAAAAAUGUGUUUCAGUCUUGCAUUAUGUUGGUGUUUCCCUGAUUUUAUAAUCUUCAACAGCCUUUGAUAGGGAGCUGUGCGAAAUAGUUUAGGAAAGCAACUCACGGGGCCGUCACACAUGCCAAGGACGGAACCAUAUCAGCCUGCUUGUAUUUUAAGCAUGGCUGUGUUUUGAGGUAAAAGGAAGGCAAUGGCAGAGCUAGACAAAGCCACAGAGCCUUGGACGAUGGCAGUGUAACAUGUAUUUAUUGUUUUUACAGAGCGAACAGCACAGAAAGAAACCGCAAAGCAGCGUGCCUCUCUCAAUCAUGGCAGACAUGACGAGUUGAAAUGGGUGUCAGCGACUUGCAGAUGGUCUACAAGCUGUAAACAACUGCAAGCUUACCAACUGCGGGAAAUUCAAAGAUUAUACUAAAACUAGGAAUAAUAACAUAAUAUUGAAUCAGCUCUGGUAGAAAAUCUGAAGAGUGGAGCAUGAUGGCAAUAAAAUGAACUUGCAGUAUGGAAAAGGAUAGCUGCAACUAUGUCUUCAGUGUUUUACAGUACCAGCGGUAAGCCGUGCGGCUAGAGCAUAGGGACGGACGGUUAUUUAAAGAAAUGAUUCAGUUAGUGACUCGAUGAUAAAGAUACGCUGAGGAUCUACUUCAGUCAUCUGAAUCUGCACCUGGGCGACCCAAACAAGUGCAAGAGGGAGGCCACUAAAGGAAGCCGAGUGCAGGGAGAUUCUCCCAUCAACAGACACGGAUUCAAUUGCAUAAAAAUCUCUGCAUCUGCUAAACUACCAGAAAGCUUGCCAAGAUCCAAGUUGAUUUUAGAGCUUCAAUUUAGGCCAAUAAGAAAAAAAUUAAAAAAAUAAAGAAAGCGCUGUGCUGGUUUACAGAGUGUAAGAACUUGGAGGGGAUCCAGGGUACAGUUUGUUCUUGGCACAGGCCGGAGUCUGACUGUGACAUUCGUAAAAUGUCAGGCAGCGCUGCCAAAUGAGCAGAGUCGAGGAACUGCGGUUUUAACCCCUGAAUGAAACUGCACUCUCUGUUUUUUUUUCUGAGUGGAGUACAUCAGGACACAUGGAUGUGCACACGUGUGUGUUUGCAGGUCCUUCAAGUCUUCAGCGUCAGCUUUCUGUAACGGGCAGUGUUAUAACAUGCAGUCUGUGCAUAAAACACAGGACUGAGCAGCCUUUCGUUACACAGUCCUCGAUUCUAAGACAUAUACUGUAUGUAUGGAAUAUUGAUAGCUGAUCCAUGAGGUUUAUAAUAUAAUACAUUUCGUGAACUGCACGUUCUUAAAAAGCAUAAUGGAUUAUGCUGUGGUUUAAUGAGAAUUACUUUGACAUGACCACAAGAACUUCAACUGAUGGGAAUUGAAUUGAACAAAAAAAAUAUCUAUCUAUCUAUCUAUCUAUCUAUCUAUCUAUCUAUCUAUCUAUCUAUAUAUAUCUAUUUAUCCAUCAGAACUCUCUUUGUCAAUCUAAUACAUAUGCAAACUCUGCAUAGAUGUUUAUUUCAGAUAAAAUGAGUAAUUGUUCUGAAUUCUAGUCUCCUGUUUCUAUCAAAGAGAUCUGUUCCUCAUCCAAACUAGAACCUUCUGGCAGCAUGUGCUGGUUUCGUUCAUCCAUUGGGACAGCAGAUGCAGGAUUGUGAUUUGGAUUAUUACGCGAAGCAUGGCAGUUUUGGAGCUUCAUGUUUUGUUGACCUUCUUUAGGCUUUAUUAUCACAAUUGCAAAACUUAAUCUCAUGCACAUAAAACAUAUAUGAGUGUGCCAAGUGAAUUUUUUCAAAUACUAACUAAAUAAGUUAAAGGUCUUAUUUGAUGAUGUGAUUUUUAAAACUGCGUGCCUCAGAGCCCUGUGAGAAAGAAGGUCCCAAGGCUAUUCUGAGAGCUCAUCACACACCACCUUCACAGGCAACCAGCCAGAUCCCAAGAAUAUUGCACUGCACUCGGGGCGCAGACCAGGAAUACAAAAACAAUCAAUCCACUGCGGAACCUGUUAAACUAUUCUCUUGCUUUUUAGCUUUCAGACUGCCCUUCAGGGAUGAGAGAAUGAAAAGCCGUGUCUCUUCCUGGUUUUGCAUCUCUGACCAGGGUUACCCUAUGACUCCCUGUACACUAGGACCAUUUGGCACCGCUCAGGCUUUUCAACACACCCCAGUGCAUUCGGGUACGUCUGACCUGUCUCAGGUACCUUUCACAGCAGGACUACACUUCCCAGAAGCCAGAACUGUCCUUCUUUUGGUCCCAUUGCCAGGGGUUGCGUCUCAAUUCUUAUCUUAGUUCUGCUAUGAAAAAGGGACUCUCUGUCUUCAUGUAGGUGUACCUCUUACAGUCUCUUACAGUAGGUGUACCUUUAGUGCAAUUACAAGUUUGGUCCUAAUUUAUUAUUUAGAUCAAUUGAUUACAACCCAUUGCCAUUUUGCAAAGGCUACUGUCAUGUUCUGUCUUAGCAGUGGGCAAGGGACAAAUCUGAUCGCAGAACGCUGUCAAUGAAAUGGAAAUGGGCUGGAGAGAAAAGGAAAGUAGAAAAGGUACUGUUUUCUAUUUGAAUUUUGUUAUUAAAUAGAGCAGCAAUCUGUGCAAGUCUGACCCACCAAUUUUAAACUAGUAGUCCAGCAUCCAUUUGGUCUGAGCUAUAAUGUUCCCCAGCUAGCUCAUGAUUUCAGAUCUCCUUGUACUUCGUAGGUUCCCAGCGUCCCAGUGGUGAAUUGUGAAUAUAGUGCAUGUGCUAGCUAGAGAAUGGUUCUUAAAAAUGCCUGGACAGCCAACUGCAGCCUGACUGGGAAUUGCUAGAAACCCGUGACCAAUAAGUCAGGAUUUUAAUUUAAAAAAAAAACUAUAAGAAGUACAAAAACAGUAACAGCCUUGUACUUGUGAGAGGAGACUCUGUGAACGCAGCAGCGCACCACACCGAGAGCAGCGGCUUCCCAGACUGUGAUAACAUUACGGCAGGACUACAGCAAAUGACUGCGAAAAAGACAUAGCUGGAUUUUUUCAGGUUGAAUAUAAGGAAAGCCAUAUAUACAGAACAUACUGAAAGUACUCAUGACUUCAAGGAACAAAUGGCCCCAUGAGAAUGAAAGAGCUGCUCUUCGAUUCUCUCAGAAGCCUUAAGUGCAGUGCACCACCCGUGGCUCUAUACUGCCAUCUGGUGGCUUAACCUGUAACCUGCAAUUCUUCAGUAACGUCGCAGUUAUCGUCCCACUGUAGAACUGUUUCCACAUUGCUCAGUGGCAAAGGGGUUCAGCAGCCUUUUGCCUGCUUAGUCUCAAUGGGGGUUUCUGAUGGCACCUGUUCUCUCUCCAGUCGAUGCAGUGGGAUCAAGCACUUUAUUCUGACACUCAAAUGGGCAUCCUUUUUUCUUCUACACAAACCGACCAGCUGAUUUUCAUGAGCGCUAAAUACAAUUCUAUAAUUUUAGCAUGUGGUUUGUUUGUGAUGAACGUAGCUAACUGUACCUAUACCUACUGUGUGCUUUUCAACUGGAACAUCCUUGAAUUAAUAUGUCCAUGCUUUACCUGAAUGGAGAUGUUUAAUGAACAGAACAUUGCUGCUGAUGUGCUGACUAAACAUUCUCGUUCACUGGGAUCUCACUGAAACGUGUAUGGCAGGGAGAUUCAUUCCACCUGCCAUAUAAUACAAAUGGGAAAACUACAGCAUGUGGACUUUUAAAGUGCAAUAUAUUAUUUUGAUCUUAACUAGAUGGAUAAUCUUAUAAUUUUCUGAAGCCACUGUAUGUCAAGAGUCAGUUCUUCCAUUAGGGCUUGCGAUUCAAAUACAGGAUAGGAUGAAUGAAACUGCCUUUCUCGAUAGUGAAACUUGGAAACGAGACGCGGAGCUGAGUAAAGCUUAAAGAGCAUUGGAAUAGGUGCAUUGAGUCCAGGGGGGUUAUGUUAAAGAAAGGAAUAACUGCAAUCUCUUCUUCUGGGUUAGCCCAUAACAUUAACAGCCAACUAGUACUGUAUCGACUUUGCGUACACUACAAUACCUUACUUUGCUUUUGAACAGUUUGCCCUGGGACACAGUAAUCUGAGGCAGGUGCAAAAGAAGCUGUUUGUGUUACUGUGUAGCAGAUUACAGCAACUUCCAGGAAAUGCUCCUCACAACUUAAAGAAGAGGUGACAUUACUGCAGGACCCACACUGUGAGCAUUAAAGGAAUGCGCAGAUAUAAAUUUCACUAAAAUCAGACAAGGCUUAUGCAAUACUGCAAUACAGCUUUUUGUUUACCAGUCAAAAGGCCUUUCGGACAUCUUAUUGACAGUAAAGCUCGGCUAAGUGUUAAGUUCCCCUUGGCCGCAACACGCUUUUGUUGUUGUUUUCGUGAGCGAGGCGUCUGCUGCAAUGACAGCAAUCUUAAUAGGAUUUGUUGAAGGCAGGCGCCAAGGUAUAGCUGGUGUAUUCAAUUAUCCCUGUGCAUGAAGUUUAGCUACACAAUAGGAAGUAUUAUUAUGAGGCUACGCGAAGUCUGAGCUCCUGUAACUUUCCAAAAAAAAGAAUAGUCCUCAUGGAAACGCUAUCAGCAGCAACAUUGUGUUGCCAAUGUGAGUUACUGUUUAGAAGCCCUUGUCACAUAGAUGCCAGUAAAGUGGUUUAGUAGGAGACUAAGCCAUAAUGACAAGUUGUUGGCUGGGUUUCAAACAUUCUCUGUGGUAUCCCACUGGUGGCCACAUCUGCUAAUUUUGUUUUAUUUUUUUUUUUGGAAAAAACGUGUUUUCACUGAGCUGAAGUAAUCUGUAACAUCUUGGUACGGUACCAGUUGGCAUAUUAGAGAAUGGGGUUAUAACUGCAUUUGCCUCAAACUUCAACACAAUUAUGGGACUUUUUGCUGCAGUGCAAAAUGUGCUCCCUUUUUCUAACUCUGAAUACACUCAAGCUAAUUUUCCAAAAUUAAGUUCUCUUUUCCACAUCUAUGUUGUCUCUUGGUAGAUUUUGCUCUGGAGCAAAACGUUUUGAAAUCACCCUGUUAGUGUUCAAAUCUGCAGGUAUUUCCUGUAAAACAAAAGCCCCCUACAUUCAAUGUUUAAGUCCUGCUGAUGGCAAUUCAGAGUAAAGCUUUGACAAUCUAGGCUUCUGAGGAAGUACAGUGCACAGACCAUGCUCCAGUACUAUACACACGAGGGACAUAUUGUGUCAGCUUUGAUUUGAAAUGAAGUUAAUAUAAAUGCAAAGAGGUCGUCGGGUUGCUUGAGUUUUUUAAUGGAAUGCGUCACUACAUUGUCUUACUAGUUGCCUCCUUGUUUAAAACGACGUGGAGCGGGUCCCAGCGUAGGUACUACAGCUUAUGCAAGAUGCAAAGAGCGUGCAGUGUUUGCAUGCAUACUGUUCAUUUCCAGGAGACAAAUCAAUAUUGUAUUACAGGUACAGCACAUUCUCUUUUUUUUCUUCAGUGACAUCAUAAUCUAUUUCAGUAUGCAGCCUGUCUCCUGUAGCCCUCGCUGGCACUGUAAUAGUCUCCUGUAGCCCUCGCUGGCACUGUAAAUAUAUUUCAACCUGGUUCUAAAGGUCCCAUGUAAUGUGGCUCCCGUCUGAAGCUGCACUAUCGAUAGAUCUCAUUACAUUCCCAUCAGUCACACUGCCCUUUUAAAGAACAACCCCCUAUAAGUAAUCAGGUGCCUGAAAUAUGAACUGUCUGAGUAAUUCAAGUAUUUGAAAUUAUGUACACUGGCACUCGCUUUCAUGGAAUCAUGAUGCUUGACGCUGCCAUCUUGUGGAAGCUGGAGCGUACUACAGCAUUGUAUUAUUAUUAUUAUUAUUUAUUAUUAUUUAUUUCUUAGCAGACGCCCUUAUCCAGGGCGACUUACAAUUGUUACAAGAUAUCACAUUAUACAUUAUUUCACAUUAUACAGAUAUCACAUUAUUUUUACAUACAAUUACCCAUUUAUACAGUUGGGUUUUUACUGGAGCAAUCUAGGUAAAGUACCUUGCUCAAGGGUACAACAGCAGUGUCCCCCACUGGGGAUUGAACCCACAACCCUCCGGUCAAGAGUCCAGAGCCCUAACCACUACUCCACACUGCUGCCCUGUAGGAAAAAAUUGUAGGAAAAAAAACCCUACUCAAUUAGAUACUACUGUACAGGACUAUAAUUAAAACUUGCUUCUCACGUAAUGAAUUUUUGCACAUUACCGGUAAAACGAUUAAGCAUUUUCCUCUCUUCAAGUGCAUAGCUCAGUAGCCUAAUUUAAUUUCUGUUCUCUUGUGUUAUGAGACCAGAAUAGGAUAUACUCACACAAUAUAAGACAGCAGGCUGAAUGACUAUUGCAACUGUUGGAUGAACAGCAGUCCCUCAGUCGAGAGCUUCACGCAAAAUGUAAAUGUCAUCAAUUUUAAACCUCCUUUGCAUUACACUUAAUACUAUAGCUGGCAGCUGUUAAUACUUUCAUGCACAUGAGUUCAGGUUAGCACCCUGUGUUUUUUUUCACAGCACGUUACUGGCAAGUAAGCUUGGAUCAAGAUGUCUGCCGGGGAGCAGGGUGACUUCAAGUUUGUAGAGUUGGGAGAGGAGGCAGUGGAGCAGCAGUCCACAAAACCUGGAGAAAGACUGGAGGAGCCAGUAGAACCAGCCGGGCCAGCGGAGAGGGGUUCUGACACCCAGCCAGAGAAGCCCUCUGAUAGUAUCCCCCUUACAAACCCCCACACUGUGCGCGUGAAGAGGGAGCCCAUUGAUAAGCACAAGCUCAAGAGAUUCUUUGUUCUGAGGCCUGGCGCUAUUGAACAAGCAAUUAAAGACAUACAGUCCAUGAUGGAUGAAAAGGAAGAUGGAAGUGUUCAAAGUGUCUGGCUUUUAGCUGAGGUGGAUCAUUGGAACAAUGAGAAGGAGCGCAUUGUGCUGCUUGCAGAGAACUCCCUCCUGAUCUGCAAGUAUGACUUCAUCAUGCUCAGCUGUGAGCACAUUCAGAGAAUCCUCCUGAACUGCAUCAAUCGCAUCUGUCAUGGGGAGUUCACCUUCCCACAAAAGUCUCUCGACAAAUGAGUACCCCUUGUUAAAGAAGCGGAGAGAAGGGGAAGGACUGCGCAUUCUCUGGGACAGACUGCGGGAGCCAACCUUCGUGUCUCGCUGGAACCCUUUCUCGGGGGACUUUCCAUUCUGCACCUUCACCGAGCACCCAGUGCUGGAGGCCAGCGACAAGUUCACUAAGAUGUGUGUGAGAGCUCACGAGAAGAACCCGGUCCCCGGCAAAGCCAACGGAGUCCUGGUGCUGAAGCAGCCCAUCCUCAUAGAGACCUACGUGGGGCUCAUGUCCUUCAUUGGAAACCAGAACAAGCUGGGGUACUGCCUGGCACGAGGGAACAUGGGAUUCUAAAUGCAGUGCCACCACGCCUUGGCAUCUCCUGUACCAAUCAUAUAUAUAUAAAUACGUUAAACCUUUUUUUUUUGCAUUUUUUCAAUGUUUUUUAUUUUUCGUGCACUGCAGCUAUACCUGCUUUCAAACUCAUAAUAUAUACUUUUUAAAUAUCUCAUUUUUAUUAUACAAUAUUUUUUUGUAAUUUUGAUUUUUAAUUUUAAAAAUAUAACAAAGUGCAAAUCAUUCAAACUUGUUUUGGGCCCCCUUAAGUGGGCGGGGGUAGAUGCUGUUAACGCCAAAUUAUUUAUCUACAGUUUGGUAUUUUUUUAUCACCUUGCUUUUGGCCUUUGUAUCCAAAGGCUAAUUUACAAAAAAGAUGUUCACUAAUUAGGAAUGCAUUAAAUGAUAAAGAAAGCAUUACAUUAUUCACUUUGAAAAGCGAUUACCAUAAUUCUUCAGCAUAUAAUAUAUUCUAUAGUAUACUGUUAUUAUUAUUAUUAUUAUUAUUUGUUUAUUUAGCAGACGCCUUUAUCCAAGGUGACUUACAAAGACUAGGGUGUGUGAACUAUGCAUCAGCUGCAGAGUCACUUACAAUUACGUCUCACCCGAAAGACAGAGCACAAGGAGGUGAAGUGACUUGCUCAGGGUCACACAAUGAGUCAGUGGCUGAGGUGGGAUUUGAAUCAGGGACCUCCUGGUUACAAGCCCUUUUCUUUAACCACUGGACCACACAGCCUGUGUUUUUAUUUCUACAAACCUAUAAAUAAAAACACAGUAUACUAUAGAAUACUAUAAAAGUAUAAUGAACACCUUGUGUAUAAGGUACCUGUACAUAACACACGCACACAUUCUACUUAAAUGUGUAAACUGGUGCUGGUUAUAUUGUGAAGAUUACAGUAUACUUUAUUAGUCCCAGUUCUAAUUUAGAUCAACUAAUGUGUUUCAGUUAAUGCUGUCCACUCAUUCAAUUUAUGUUUGUUGCUAUAAAUGCUGUUGGGAUGUCAUGUUUUCUUUCUUUGGAUUGUUAUAAGGUAAUGGUAAAACAUGCUAUCUGUGCUUCUGACCAACUCUCAUGAACAGUUACCAGCCUUUGCAGAGAGCAGGUGUCGAAUGUGUAUCUGUUUACAAUGAAUGCUACCGCAAGAGUUAUUGUAUAUACGUUACUGAAUUGGUGUCCCCACUUCAGCCAAUCCAGUCCCUUGCGUUAGAAUCAGAAACUUUAAAAAAAGAUCUUUUUUGAGAUCGGGGGUAAAACUACAAAGGAAACAUGCUUUUGUUACAGUUUCUGAUUGAGUGUUGUUUGGGUUUUUUAACAUCACGCAUCCUAACCAGUUUAUAUCAGACCUUUACAAUAACGUAAUGUUUUAUAUGUUUGCCUAUCUACUGUAAAAGGCAUCUUGAAGUAUAAUGUCUAUUCAUUCUUUAUUUUAAGACAGUGUCAUGAUGAGGGUUUGACAGUAAUCUGCAAUAUGGGAAAUUCCUAACAGCC
This is an RNA transcript of Acipenser ruthenus (sterlet), 9161 nucleotides long. It is a transcript of the gene named tumor protein p63-regulated gene 1-like protein, with no coding region annotated. Lineage: Eukaryota; Metazoa; Chordata; Actinopteri; Acipenseriformes; Acipenseridae. The transcript has 7 exons. The record is from RefSeq and is a predicted model, not a curated record.